CUCUGUGCACAUACUAAUUGUUAAUUCUUUGUUUUGUUGAUCAAGUAAAAUUUACAGUGAAGAUGCCAGGCAUGCCAUAUAUCAGAGUGGUGAGUAGGCAGUGCUCUCUAUGUAAUCUUAUAUUCACAUUAAUCACGGACUACAAAUGACGUUUCGGUUGGUUGUUUUGACUUGUUUACUGAGUCCUUAUUUGGGAAUCCACCUCCACUGAAGACUCAUGUUUUUUUUUCUUUAAGCCUGGUCAUCUUGACCGUCUUCCCAUGGAGAACGCACUGACACUCAUGUCCAAUAAGGGCCCCAUUGUUCCUCAGAUCAUUAAACUGCUGGAUUUGUUUUAUUUCAAAGAGCUCUAUGAUUGAAGCCUUGAAGAGGGGACAGCACAAAAUGUAAGGUGGCAGGACCCUGAUGCUGCUAACAUUUGCGGGACAUUAAACUGGAGAACCUGCUGGUAAACCAGGACACCAUGGAGGUCAAUUUGACUGACAUUGAGUGCAACCUUUAAAGUUUUACAUGGAACAAAAGUGUACGGUCCUUUAGAGUUCAGCAUGAAGGGCAUGUACAAUGCAAGGCUGAUGACAGUGUGGAGACUACGGUUCCUCCUGUAUGAAAUGGUUUGCAAGGAACAUCCUACAGCCUAUGACUUUCAGGUAAUCAGUGUGGACCUCUGGACCAGACCUGGACUGUCACAAUUCUUUUUGUACUGAAAACUCCCAGAUGAUCUGUGCUUGUCUACAGCCUAAGCCACAGAAGAGACCCAUGCUGGAAUGGUAAUACAGAAGCAAAAUAUAGGACAUGCAACAGAGGAUGAGCUGAUUGACUUAAUACUGACAUCAAGUGUUGUUUACAUUUAAAUGAGCCUCAUCAUUCUAUGUCAGUACAGCAGCUCAAGUUUACAUUUGAUAUCAACACAACUGUCCCUGAAGCCUUGAAGCCUGAUCAAAUGUGUAACAAGCUCUACCAGGGCAUCUACCGCUCUGUGGCGCAACCCAUGAGGAAGACACGUAGUGGUCGGGAGCAUCCCCCCAUACUAUAACGCCUUCAGCUGGGACUGAAGAUCAAGCAGCGCCUGUGGCUGAUGUUCAUC
Molecule: long non-coding RNA, 1084 nt
Organism: Carassius carassius (crucian carp)
Lineage: Eukaryota; Metazoa; Chordata; Actinopteri; Cypriniformes; Cyprinidae
Exons: 3
Source: RefSeq, a predicted model, not a curated record